GAUGAACGCUGGCGGCGUGCUUAACACAUGCAAGUCGAACGGAAAGGCCCAAGCUUGCUUGGGUACUCGAGUGGCGAACGGGUGAGUAACACGUGGGUGAUCUGCCCUGCACUUCGGGAUAAGCCUGGGAAACUGGGUCUAAUACCGGAUAGGACCACUUCUUGGAUGUUGUGGUGGAAAGUUUUUUCGGUGUGGGAUGAGCUCGCGGCCUAUCAGCUUGUUGGUGGGGUAAUGGCCUACCAAGGCGUCGACGGGUAGCCGGCCUGAGAGGGUGUACGGCCACAUUGGGACUGAGAUACGGCCCAGACUCCUACGGGAGGCAGCAGUGGGGAAUAUUGCACAAUGGGCGCAAGCCUGAUGCAGCGACGCCGCGUGGGGGAUGACGGCCUUCGGGUUGUAAACUCCUUUCGCUAGGGACGAAGCGUUUUGUGACGGUACCUGGAGAAGAAGCACCAGCUAACUACGUG
RNAcentral lists this ribosomal RNA (467 nucleotides) under uncultured bacterium. RNAcentral describes it as "partial 16S ribosomal RNA". It matches the Rfam family "Bacterial small subunit ribosomal RNA", at positions 28 to 507 of the family's 1533-position model. The record is from RNAcentral.